GCCGGGCAGCCAGCCGCCGCCGCCCGCCUUCCCGCCGCCGCCGCCGCCGGCCCGGCACCAGGGAGAAAACGGAUCCGGCGGACCGGGGCCUAACCCUGGACCGAUGCCGCCCCCUCCACCAGGUAUGAUGAUGCCGCCGGGCGGGUGGCGCGGCGGGUUCCCGCCGCCCUGGGCCGCGCCGCCGCCGCCCUUCCUCGCGCCGCCGCCGCCGCCGCCGCCCAUCUCCUCCUCCUAGCCGCGCGCCGCGCCCGCGGCACGCGCCGCACCAGCCGCACGCCCCGCACCAGCCGCACGCGCCGCACCAGCCGCACGUGCCGCACCAGCCGCACGUGCCGCAUCAGCCGAGCCGCACUCCCCGCCGCCGCCGCCGCCCGGCGACGAGCCGCCCCAGUAGCGGCGCCAGGCAGCGCAGCCGCCCGCUGACGCUCGCAGAAGAUUGAUACGAUACAUGUGUAUUUUACAGUAACGUCUUUGUGAGAAUGUCAAUUUAAAAACAUUCAGUUUAUUUAAUUUAGAUUAAACUAUUGAUUCUUUAUUAUGUAUAUGUUUUAACCGAUACUGAUAAUUGGUGACUCGGUCGCACUAAGGGACUAUAAAACUUGUGGUACUUUAAAUAUUUGCAACGUUUCGAUUAUAGACUAAAGAUAAAAAAUCGUUCAUAAGUAAGAAAAAUGUUCAUGUCCAUUUACGCACACUUCGUCCGCAUAGUGUCCGUACGACAAUUUAUUAAUUAAAUCUAGAUUUAUCGAAAUUGAGAAAUAGAAUAAUGAGGACUGAAUCAUAUUGUACCAGUUAGUUCAUAAUUUCUGCACUCUUUCUAGGAAACAUUAGAUUCGAAUCAGUAAGCAUUAAUAUGUUUGAUUAGUUGUUAGGUUUAGAAAUUGAGUAAGAGCUCUGUGGAGUACACUGUGUACUACUGUGUAUUAUAAACAUUAAUAAAUAUAUAUAGCAAUACA
This is a long non-coding RNA of Zerene cesonia (dogface butterfly), 956 nucleotides long. RefSeq lists it as uncharacterized. The transcript has 3 exons. The record is from RefSeq and is a predicted model, not a curated record. NCBI's taxonomy places the organism in Eukaryota, Metazoa, Arthropoda, Insecta, Lepidoptera, Pieridae.